Long non-coding RNA from Homo sapiens (human), 1271 nucleotides. Lineage: Eukaryota; Metazoa; Chordata; Mammalia; Primates; Hominidae. The record is from Ensembl.
GUCACUGAUCACAUAGACCCGCAGCACUCAGCCAGGCCCCUCACCCCGGCUCUGCUCUCAAGCCGGGCUUGGCUCCCCGCCUGCCCAAAUGCGUUCAACAUCCCCCGAAAGGCCAUUUCCCUUCCAGUCUUCCCGGAGAGAUGUCAGGGUGACGAGGGAGCUUAUCUUUCGGUGGCUCCGAAACAGCCACGAAGCCGAGCUCUACCAGUAACAAAAAUGGCGUCAUUCCGCCAGCGCCAGGACCUCUGUCGCUGGCCGUGGUCUCGCACUGCUUCUGGAGGCUCCCAUUCCAGCCAGAGGAGAGGAAGUCAGGGACCCCAAACGGAGGGACUGGCUGAAGCCAUGGCAGAAGAACGUGAAUUGUGAAGAUUUCAUGGACAUUUAUUAGUUCCCCAAAUUAAUACUUUUAUAAUUUCUUAUGCCUGUCUUUACUGCAAUCUCUAAACAUAAAUUGUAAAUAUUUCAUGGACACUUAUCACUUCUUCAAUCAAUACCCUUGUGAUUUCCUAUGCCUGUCUUUACUUUAAUCUCUUAAUCCUGUCAGCUGAGGAGGAUGUAUGUCGCCUCAGGACAAUAUGAUAAUUGCGUUAACUGCACAAAUUGUACAGCAUGUAUGUUUGAGCAAUAUGAAAUGUGGGCACCUUGAAAAAAGAACAGGAUAACAGCAAUUGUUCGGGGAAUAAGAGAGAUAGCCUUAAACUCUGAAUGCCGGUGAGCCGGAUGGAACAGAGCCAUAUUUCUCUUCUUUCAAAAGCAAAUGGGAGAAAUAUGGCUGAAUUCCUUUUCUCAGCAAGGAACAUCCCUGAGAAAGAGAAUACGCACCUGGAGAUAUAGGCCUAUGAACGGCCCCCCCAGGUGCACCUGUCUUUUAUGGUCAAGACUGCAGGGGUGAAAUAAACCCCAGUCUCCCAUAGCACUCCCAGGCUUAUUAGGAAGAGGAAAUUCCCACCUAAUAAUUUUGGUCAGACCGGUUGCUCUCAAAACCCUGUCUCCUGAUAAGAUGUUAUCAAUGACUAUGGUGCCCGAAUCUUCAUUAGCAAUUUUAAUUUCACCUUGGUCCUGUGGUCCUGUGAUCUCGCCCUGCCUCCACUUGCCUUGUGAUAUUCUAUUACCUUGUAAAGUACUUGAUGUCUGUGACCCACACCCUAUUCGUAUACUCCCUCCCCUUUUGAAACUCCCUAAUAAAAACUUGCUGGUUUAACGGCUUGUGGGGCAUCACAGAAUCUACCGACAUGUGAUGUCUCCCCCGGACGCCCAGCUUUAAAAUUUCU